Molecule: long non-coding RNA, 829 nt
Organism: Mangifera indica (mango)
Lineage: Eukaryota; Viridiplantae; Streptophyta; Magnoliopsida; Sapindales; Anacardiaceae
Exons: 2
Source: RefSeq, a predicted model, not a curated record
ACAAGUUGGUGAAAAAGUAAAUUAAGAUUAGCUAAUGUCAUGUAUUGUGCAUCAAAUCAAAUCGAUCAAAAGGAAUUUAUUCUUUUGAUUGAUCUCCAAUACAUGUAUAAUCCUUUGAUAUCAAUAACAUGUAUGCAACUAUAAAUUGCAAGAUCAGCAGAAUAUAUUCUUCGUUUCUGUAUUUCUGUAGUAGGAAUUUACCAGGGAUUUAUGGAGGUAUCAAUUCCUCCUAAAGUUGGGUUGGUUGGGGAUAGAAUCAAAAUCCCAUCAUUCAUGCCAAAGCAUACUUGAAGCUUACUAAGCAUAUCUACAUCUCCAUCUACGACUCCACAACAAUCAGAGACAUGGGUUGGUUUUUCACAGAAAGAAGAGGACCUGCAUGGAAGCAAGGGUGGGCAGAGCAAACUCUAUCCUCCAUUUCUGCACCUCCUCUACCUUUAGUUGCCAUUUUCGGAAUCAUUUUUCUUCUUUUUUGGCUUUCAUCUUACAUCAACUACAGAUUGCAGAUGCAGCACACUAUGACCAACUUAAAGGCCGAGAACAUACCGGCGUCCGGCUGAUGUUGGAAGCAAAUAUGGUAACUUGCCUUGGAGCCUGAUGGUGCUGGUGCUGGUGCUUUUGGUUAUGGUAUCUUACCACUCCCAUGUUCAAUCCAUGUGGACUCCGAGUAUUUAGAGUUUGUUGGGUGGCUAUUUUGUACUGUAUUAACAUUUUUCAGUUACCGUCUCUAUGUAUUAACAAGUUUGACUUGGGUUUAGUUUGAAUUAUGUACUUUUGUGAUCUUACUUAUAUUUGCUAUUAUCAGAAGUCCUAAAUUUAUUGCAGUAAA